RNAcentral lists this ribosomal RNA (467 nucleotides) under uncultured bacterium. RNAcentral's name for it is "partial 16S ribosomal RNA". It matches the Rfam family "Bacterial small subunit ribosomal RNA", at positions 29 to 507 of the family's 1533-position model. The record is from RNAcentral.
ACGCACGCUGGCGGCGUGCUUCACACAUGCCAGUCGCACGGAAAGGCCCUGCUUUUGUGGGGUGCUCGAGUGGCGAACGGGUGAGUAACACGUGAGUAACCUGCCCUUGACUUUGGGAUAACUUCAGGAAACUGGGGCUAAUACCGGAUAGGAGCUCCUGCUGCAUGGUGGGGGUUGGAAAGUUUCGGCGGUUGGGGAUGGACUCGCGGCUUAUCAGCUUGUUGGUGGGGUAGUGGCUUACCAAGGCUUUGACGGGUAGCCGGCCUGAGAGGGUGACCGGCCACAUUGGGACUGAGAUACGGCCCAGACUCCUACGGGAGGCAGCAGUGGGGAAUAUUGCACAAUGGGCGGAAGCCUGAUGCAGCAACGCCGCGUGCGGGAUGACGGCCUUCGGGUUGUAAUCCGCUUUCGCCUGUGACGAAGCGUGAGUGACGGUAAUGGGUAAAGAAGCACCGGCUAACUACGUG